This 578-nucleotide ribosomal RNA is filed under the name uncultured Monodictys. Its description in RNAcentral is "eukaryotic LSU rRNA". The stretch from base 210 to 363 matches the Rfam family "5.8S ribosomal RNA". Lineage: Eukaryota; Fungi; Ascomycota; Sordariomycetes; Microascales; Halosphaeriaceae. The record is from RNAcentral.
UCCGUAGGUGAACCUGCGGAAGGAUCAUUAAACAUCAUCGGGGAGUUGGAUCCAGAUUGUGGGGCUUCGGUCUCGCUUUCUGCCCUUCUCUUACUGAUUAUACCCAUGUCUUUUGCGUACUAUUUGUUUCCUUGGUGGGCUUGCCUGCCGAUAGGACAUCAUUAAACCUUUUGUAAUUGCAGUCAGCGUCAGAAAAACAUAAUAAUUACAACUUUCAACGACGGAUCUCUUGGUUCUGGCAUCGAUGAAGAACGCAGCGAAAUGCGAUAAGUAGUGUGAAUUGCAGAAUUCAGUGAAUCAUCGAAUCUUUGAACGCACAUUGCGCCCCUUGGUAUUCCAUGGGGCAUGCCUGUUCGAGCGUCAUUUGUACCCUCAAGCUCUGCUUGGUGUUGGGUGUUUGUCCCGCUUUUCGCGUGGACUCGCCUUAAAACAAUUGGCAGCCGGCAUAUUGGCCUGGAGCGCAGCACAUUUUGCGCCUCUUGUCAUGAUUGUUGGCAUCCAUCAAGACUAUUUUUUACUCUUGACCUCGGAUCAGGUAGGGAUACCCGCUGAACUUAAGCAUAUCAAUAAGCGGAGGA